GACGAACGCUGGCGGCGUGCUUAACACAUGCAAGUCGAACGAAGAGCGAUGGAAGCUUGCUUCUAUCAAUCUUAGAGGCGAACGGGUGAGUAACGCGUAAUCAACCUGCCCUUCAGAGGGGGACAACAGUUGGAAACGACUGCUAAUACCGCAUACGAUCCAAUCUCGGCAUCGAGGAUGGAUGAAAGGUGGCCCCUAUUUAUAAGCUAUCACUGAAGGAGGGGAUUGCGUCUGAUCAGCUAGUUGGAGGGGUAACGGCCCACCAAGGCGAUGAUCAGUAGCCGGUCUGGGAGGAUGAACGGCCACAUUGGGACUGAGACACGGCCCAGACUCCUACGGGAGGCAGCAGUGGGGAAUCUUCCGCAAUGGACGAAAGUCUGACGGAGCAACGCCGCGUGAGUGAUGACGGCCUUCGGGUUGUAAAGCUCUGUUAAUCGGGACGAAAGGCCUUCUUGCGAAUAGUUAGAAGGAUUGACGGUACCGGAAUAGAAAGCCACGGCUAACUACGUGCCAGCAGCCGCGGUAAUACGUAGGUGGCAAGCGUUGUCCGGAAUUAUUGGGCGUAAAGCGCGCGCAGGCGGAUUGGUCAGUCUGUCUUAAAAGUUCGGGGCUUAACCCCGUGAUGGGAUGGAAACUGCCAAUCUAGAGUAUCGGAGAGGAAAGUGGAAUUCCUAGUGUAGCGGUGAAAUGCGUAGAUAUUAGGGAGAACACCAGUGGCGAAGGCGACUUUCUGGACGAAAACUGACGCUGAGGCGCGAAAGCCAGGGGAGCGAACGGGAUUAGAUACCCCGGUAGUCCUGGCCGU
This 805-nucleotide ribosomal RNA is filed under the name uncultured organism. RNAcentral describes it as "SSU rRNA". It matches the Rfam family "Bacterial small subunit ribosomal RNA", at positions 28 to 803 of the family's 1533-position model. The record is from RNAcentral.